RNAcentral lists this non-coding RNA (130 nucleotides) under Streptomyces sp. ERV7. RNAcentral's name for it is "Streptomyces RNA 3920". It matches the Rfam family "Streptomyces RNA 3920". From Rfam's summary of the family: Identified by deep sequencing of transcriptome at the end of exponential growth phase. Sequencing size consistent with northern blot size. Lineage: Bacteria; Bacillati; Actinomycetota; Actinomycetes; Kitasatosporales; Streptomycetaceae. The record is from Rfam by way of RNAcentral.
GAUAGGUCUCUGUCGCUACCGUGAUUGGACACUGACACAGAGUCAACUAGCCUUGUUGACGCGGUUCUUCGCGCGUGGAGUGGAACCGGGGCGGUCCGAGCCAUGAGGGGGGAGGCUCGGACCGUCCGCC